AUCGUACCCCAAACCGACACAGGUGGUCAGGUAGAGAAUACCAAGGCGCUUGAGAGAACUCGGGUGAAGGAACUAGGCAAAAUGGUGCCGUAACUUCGGGAGAAGGCACGCUGACACGUAGGUGAAGCGGUUUACCCGUGGAGCUGAAGUCAGUCGAAGAUACCAGCUGGCUGCAACUGUUUAUUAAAAACACAGCACUGUGCAAACACGAAAGUGGACGUAUACGGUGUGACGCCUGCCCGGUGCCGGAAGGUUAAUUGAUGGGGUCAGCGCAAGCGAAGCUCCUGAUCGAAGCCCCGGUAAACGGCGGCCGUAACUAUAACGGUCCUAAGGUAGCGAAAUUCCUUGUCGGGUAAGUUCCGACCUGCACGAAUGGCGUAAUGAUGGCCAGGCUGUCUCCACCCGGGACUCAGUGAAAUUGAACUCGCUGUGAAGAUGCAGUGUACCCGCGGCAAGACGGAAAGACCCCGUGAACCUUUACUAUAGCUUGACACUGAACACUGGUCCUUGAUGUGCAGGAUAGGUGGGAGGCUUUGAAGUGUGGACGCCAGUCUGCAUGGAGCCAUCCUUGAAAUACCACCCUUUAAUGGCUGGUGUUCUAACGUGGACCCGUAAUCCGGGUUGCGGACAGUGUCUGGUGGGUAGUUUGACUGGGGCGGUCUCCUCCUAAAGAGUAACGGAGGAGCACGAAGGUUGGCUAAUCCUGGUCGGACAUCAGGAGGUUAGUGCAAUGGCAUAAGCCAGCUUGACUGCGAGCGUGACGGCGCGAGCAGGUGCGAAAGCAGGUCAUAGUGAUCCGGUGGUUCUGAAUGGAAGGGCCAUCGCUCAACGGAUAAAAGGUACUCCGGGGAUAACAGGCUGAUACCGCCCAAGAGUUCAUAUCGACGGCGGUGUUUGGCACCUCGAUGUCGGCUCAUCACAUCCUGGGGCUGAAGUAGGUCCCAAGGGUAUGGCUGUUCGCCAUUUAAAGUGGUACGCGAGCUGGGUUUAGAACGUCGUGAGACAGUUCGGUCCCUAUCUGCCGUGGGCGCUGGAAGAUUGAGGGGGGCUGCUCCUAGUACGAGAGGACCGGAGUGGACGCAUCACUGGUGUUCGGGUUGUCAUGCCAAUGGCACUGCCCGGUAGCUACAUGCGGAAGAGAUAAGUGCUGAAAGCAUCUAAGCACGAAACUUGCCCCGAGAUGAAUCUUCCCUGAGCCUUUAAGGCUCCUGAAGGAACGUUGAAGACGACGACGUUGAUAGGCCGGGUGUGUAAGCGCAGCGAUGCGUUGAGCUAACCGGUACUAAUGAACCGUGAGGCUUAACCUU
This 1307-nucleotide ribosomal RNA is filed under the name Salmonella enterica. RNAcentral's name for it is "partial 23S ribosomal RNA". It matches the Rfam family "Bacterial large subunit ribosomal RNA", at positions 1641 to 2925 of the family's 2925-position model. Lineage: Bacteria; Pseudomonadati; Pseudomonadota; Gammaproteobacteria; Enterobacterales; Enterobacteriaceae. The record is from RNAcentral.